Molecule: small RNA, 697 nt
Filed under: Pongo abelii (Sumatran orangutan)
Lineage: Eukaryota; Metazoa; Chordata; Mammalia; Primates; Hominidae
Description: processed transcript
Source: RNAcentral
CGGGCUCGGAGCACACUGUGGAAGGCCACCGUUUCCCUGCCGAGGAGGGCCCAGAAGAAAACAGUGCCUAUGAGCAGUUGCUGUCUCACUUGGAAGAAAUCGCUGAGGAAGGCUCAGAGACUCAGGUCCCAGGAUUGGACAUAUCUGCACUCCUGCCCUCUGACCUCAGCCGCUACUUCCGAUAUGAGGGGUCUCUGACUACACCGCCCUGUGCCCAGGGUGUCAUCUGGACUGUGUUUAACCAGACAGUGAUGCUGAGUGCUAAGCAGCUCCACACCCUCUCUGACACCCUGUGGGGACCUGGUGACUCUCGGCUACAGCUGAACUUCCGAGCGACGCAGCCUUUGAAUGGGCGAGUGAUUGAGGCCUCCUUCCCUGCUGGAGUGGACAGCAGUCCUCGGGCUGCUGAGCCAGUCCAGCUGAAUUCCUGCCUGGCUGCUGGUGACAUCCUAGCCCUGGUUUUUGGCCUCCUUUUUGCUAUCACCAGCGUCGCCUUCCUUGUGCAGAUGAGAAGGCAGCACAGAAGGGCAACCAAAGGGGGUGUGAGCUACCGCCCAGCAGAGGUAGCCGAGACUGGAGCCUAGAGGCUGGAUCUUGGAGAAUGUGAGAAGCCAGCCAGAGGCAUCUGAGGGGGAGCCGGUAACUGUUCUGUCCUGCUCAUUAUGCCACUUCCUUUUAACUGCCAAGUAAUUUUUUU